CACACCAAAAUCCCAAAACCUACCAGCCAUCAUCACUUUCUUUCCCAUUUGCAGUUCACGAUAAUUCUUUUCCUUUCACCCAAAUUUCUCAUCAAUAAUUGUUCUUAAAAUUGCUUCAUUCCAACAUUUUUAUUUUAUCUAAAAUGAUAAAAUAUUUACCCUUCAAUUCUUAUCUACUUGUUAUGCUUGGAAAUUUUGGAUUCCAAAAAAAUUCACAGAGAGCAACUAACCAUAGUUUUCUUUUUUGCCUUAAAAAGACCAAACAAUAACAAAGAUGAAGAAAGAUGCAAGGUACUUACUUUGAAAAUUUAAGCAGAUUUAGUUCCUUCAGGUAUUUCUAUAGAUGAGUUCUUGUUUCUUUUCUUUCUAUUUUGUUUGAGUGUUUGAGAUUGACAUGAUUGAGUCUCCUUUCUUAAAGAUAAAUGUUAUAAAAUUUUGUUAUUUUUUUCUACUAUGGCUUACUUG
RNAcentral lists this long non-coding RNA (465 nucleotides) under Gossypium barbadense (sea-island cotton). Its description in RNAcentral is "long non-coding RNA (GBAR_LNC016372)". Lineage: Eukaryota; Viridiplantae; Streptophyta; Magnoliopsida; Malvales; Malvaceae. The record is from RNAcentral.